This 378-nucleotide unclassified non-coding RNA is filed under the name uncultured bacterium. RNAcentral's name for it is "contains 16S-23S intergenic spacer region". The record is from RNAcentral.
UCCGGUUUGUCACCGGCAGUCUCCUUAGAGUGCCCUUGCGUAGCAACUAAGGACAAGGGUUGCGCUCGUUGCGGGACUUAACCCAACAUCUCACGACACGAGCUGACGACAGCCAUGCAGCACCUGUGCUGGCUCUCCUCUUGCGAGGAGUCGUCGCCGUUUCUGGCUUCUACCACCAGCAUGUCAAGGCCAGGUAAGGUUCUUCGCGUUGCAUCGAAUUAAGCCACAUGCUCCACCGCUUGUGCGGGCCCCCGUCAAUUUCUUUGAGUUUUAACCUUGCGGUCGUACUUCCCAGGCGGUUCACUUAUCGCGUUAGCUACGGCACGCAGGGGGUCGACUCCCGCACACCAAGUGAACACCGUUUAGGGCCAGGACUAC